AACGGUCUUGUUAUUGGAAUGAGAACAAUUUAAAUAACUUAACGAGGAUCAAUUAGAGGGCAAGUCUGGUGCCAGCAGCCGCGGUAAUUCCAGCUCCAAUAGCGUAUAUUAAAAUUGUUGCAGUUAAAAAGCUCGUAGUCGGAUUUCUGGCAGAGUGACUCCGGCCGCAGCAUUGCGAGUUGGGAGCGCCCUACCAUCCUUCGGUUAACCUUUACGGAAUUCACUUUCUGUGCUGGGGCUCCGAUAUUUUACCUUGAGAAAAUUAGAGUGUUUCAGGCAGGCUAUAGCCGGAAUACAUUAGCAUGGAAUAAUGGAAAAGGACUACUACCUCUUCUGUUGGUCUGGGAGGCAGCAGUAAUGAUUAAUAGGGAUAGUUGGGGGCAUUAGUACUUAAUAGCAAGAGGUGAAAUUCUCUGAUUUGUUGAAGACUAACUUAUGCGAAAGCAUUUGCCAAGGAUGUUUUCAUUAAUCAAGAACGAAAGUUAGGGGAUCAAAGACGAUCAGAUACCGUCCUAGUCUUAACCAUAAACUAUGCCGACUCGGGAUCGGAGGCACGCAAAAUCGGUCUUCGGCACCGUAUGAGAAAUCAA
RNAcentral lists this ribosomal RNA (590 nucleotides) under uncultured ciliate. RNAcentral's name for it is "bacterial SSU rRNA". It matches the Rfam family "Eukaryotic small subunit ribosomal RNA", at positions 496 to 1101 of the family's 1831-position model. The record is from RNAcentral. Lineage: Eukaryota; Ciliophora.